UGACGGUACCUGACUAAGAAGCACCGGCUAAAUACGUGCCAGCAGCCGCGGUAAUACGUAUGGUGCAAGCGUUAUCCGGAUUUACUGGGUGUAAAGGGAGCGCAGGCGGUCCUGCAAGCCAGAGGUGAAAACCCGGGGCUCAACCCCGUGAUUGCCUUUGGAACUGUAGAGCUUGAGUACUGGAGGGGCAGGCGGAAUUCCUGGUGUAGCGGUGAAAUGCGUAGAUAUUAGGAGGAACACCAGUGGCGAAGGCGGCUUACUGGACGAUAACUGACGUUGAGGCUCGAAAGCGUGGGGAGCAAACAGGAUUAGAUACCCUG
Molecule: ribosomal RNA, 320 nt
Filed under: uncultured bacterium
Lineage: Bacteria
Description: bacterial SSU rRNA
Rfam family: Bacterial small subunit ribosomal RNA
Source: RNAcentral